UCCUGGCUCAGAAUGAACGUUGGCGGCGUGGAUUAGGCAUGCAAGUCGAACGGGCCGCAAGGCCAGUGGCGGAAGGGUGAGUAAUGCGACGGUAACCAACCCCCGGAAAUGGGUAUAGCCGCGGGAAACUGCGGGUAAUCCCCAGCGACGUGUCGGGUCGGCAUCGACCUGACACCAAAGCUCCGGCGUUCCGGGACGGGCCGUUGUGGUAUUAGCUAGUUGGCGGGGUAACGGCCCACCAAGGCUGCGAUGCCUACCGGGCGUGCGAGCGUGGCCCGGCACACUGGGACUGAGACACUGCCCAGACUCCUACGGGAGGCUGCAGUCGAGAAUCUUCGGCAAUGGGCGCAAGCCUGACCGAGCGACGCCGCGUGGAGGACGAAGGCCUUCGGGUUGUAAACUCCUGUCGAGGGGGAGGAAGGCGUAAGCUUGACCGAUCCCUGGAGGAAGCACGGGCUAAGUUCGUGCCAGCAGCCGCGGUAAGACGAACCGUGCGAACGUUAUUCGGAAUCACUGGGC
Molecule: ribosomal RNA, 519 nt
Filed under: uncultured bacterium
Lineage: Bacteria
Description: bacterial SSU rRNA
Rfam family: Bacterial small subunit ribosomal RNA
Source: RNAcentral